UACGUAGGGUGCAAGCGUUAAUCGGAAUUACUGGGCGGAAAGCGUGCGCAGGCGGUUUUGUAAGUCUGACGUGAAAGCCCCGGGCUCAACCUGGGAAUUGCGUUGGAGACUGCAAGGCUUGAAUCUGGCAGAGGGGGGUAGAAUUCCACGUGUAGCAGUGAAAUGCGUAGAGAUGUGGAGGAACACCGAUGGCGAAGGCAGCCCCCUGGGUCAAGAUUGACGCUCAUGCACGAAAGCGUGGGGAGCAAACAGG
This 253-nucleotide ribosomal RNA is filed under the name uncultured bacterium. Its description in RNAcentral is "partial 16S ribosomal RNA". It matches the Rfam family "Bacterial small subunit ribosomal RNA", at positions 524 to 776 of the family's 1533-position model. The record is from RNAcentral.